This 492-nucleotide ribosomal RNA is filed under the name uncultured bacterium. RNAcentral's name for it is "partial 16S ribosomal RNA". It matches the Rfam family "Bacterial small subunit ribosomal RNA", at positions 29 to 507 of the family's 1533-position model. The record is from RNAcentral.
AGUGAGCGCUGGCGGUAGGCCUAACACAUGCAAGUCGAACGGCAGCACAGUAAGAGCUUGCUCUUACGGGUGGCGAGUGGCGGACGGGUGAGGAAUACAUCGGAAUCUACUUUUUCGUGGGGGAUAACGUAGGGAAACUUACGCUAAUACCGCAUACGACCUACGGGUGAAAGCAGGGGAUCUUCGGACCUUGCGCGAUUGAAUGAGCCGAUGUCGGAUUAGCUAGUUGGCGGGGUAAAGGCCCACCAAGGCGACGAUCCGUAGCUGGUCUGAGAGGAUGAUCAGCCACACUGGAACUGAGACACGGUCCAGACUCCUACGGGAGGCAGCAGUGGGGAAUAUGGGACAAUGGGCGCAAGCCUGAUCCAGCCAUACCGCGUGGGUGAAGAAGGCCUUCGGGUUGUAAAGCCCUUUUGUUGGGAAAGAAAAGCAGCAGGUUAAUACCCCGCCGUUCUGACGGUACCCAAAGAAUAAGCACCGGCUAACUUCGUG